UAUUGAUGAUGACAAAACCAAAGGCUUGUUUCUCAAAACAUUCGCAGUGGCCGCCUAAGAGCUUUCGCCUUUUGCAGGGCUUGAGAGCUUGUGCUGCUUAAUUCUUCCUUGGAUGUCUGAAAUU
This is a small nucleolar RNA of Tripterygium wilfordii, 124 nucleotides long. RefSeq annotates it as small nucleolar RNA SNORD14. NCBI's taxonomy places the organism in Eukaryota, Viridiplantae, Streptophyta, Magnoliopsida, Celastrales, Celastraceae. The record is from RefSeq and is a predicted model, not a curated record. The transcript has a single exon.